RNAcentral lists this ribosomal RNA (373 nucleotides) under uncultured organism. RNAcentral's name for it is "partial 16S ribosomal RNA". It matches the Rfam family "Bacterial small subunit ribosomal RNA", at positions 527 to 896 of the family's 1533-position model. The record is from RNAcentral.
GUAGGUGGCAAGCGUUGUCCGGAAUUAUUGGGCGUAAAGCGCGCGCAGGCGGUUCUUUAAGUCUGAUGUGAAAGCCCACGGCUCAACCGUGGAGGGUCAUUGGAAACUGGAGAACUUGAGUAUAGAAGAGGAAAGCGGAAUUCCACGUGUAGCGGUGAAAUGCGUAGAGAUGUGGAGGAACACCAGUGGCGAAGGCGGCUUUCUGGUCUGUAACUGACGCUGAGGCGCGAAAGCGUGGGGAGCAAACAGGAUUAGAUACCCUGGUAGUCCACGCCGUAAACGAUGAGUGCUAAGUGUUAGGGGGUUUUCCGCCCCCCUUAGUGCUGCAGCUAACGCAUUAAGCACUCCGCCUGGGAGUACGGCCGCAAGGCUG